GGGGGUACAGCUCAGUGGUAGGGCGCAUGUUUAGCAUGCAUGAAGUCCCGAGUUCAAUCCCCAGUACUUCUA
RNAcentral lists this transfer RNA (72 nucleotides) under Camelus bactrianus (Bactrian camel). It matches the Rfam family "tRNA". Rfam says of the family: Transfer RNA (tRNA) molecules are approximately 80 nucleotides in length. RNAcentral also lists the same sequence under 2 other names. The record is from Rfam by way of RNAcentral. Lineage: Eukaryota; Metazoa; Chordata; Mammalia; Artiodactyla; Camelidae.